Molecule: ribosomal RNA, 411 nt
Filed under: uncultured eukaryote
Lineage: Eukaryota
Description: SSU rRNA
Rfam family: Eukaryotic small subunit ribosomal RNA
Source: RNAcentral
CCAGCAGCCGCGGUAAUUCCAGCUCCAAUAGCGUAUAUUAAUGUUGUUGCGGUUAAAAAGCUCGUAGUUGAAUCUCUGAUCGGGAUGACCUCCCCACCUUAGGGUGGUGGUAGCUGUUGACCCGUUCAUCCUCCUAGCAGCGAUGGUUCUUAACCGAGCCGUUCGUACUAGGACUUUUACUUUGAGGAAAUUAGAGUGUUUCACGCAGGCAUUUGCCUUGAAUACAUUAGCAUGGAAUAAUAAUUUAGGACUUCGGUUCUAUUUUAUUGGUUCUGGACCGAAGUAAUGAUUAAUAGGGACAGUCGGGGGCAUUCGUACUCAACAGUCAGAGGUGAAAUUCUUGGAUUUGUUGGAGACGAACUACUGCGAAAGCAUUUGCCAAGGAUGUUUUCAUUGAUCAAGAACGAAAGU